RNAcentral lists this transfer RNA (65 nucleotides) under Mesohomotoma hibisci. Its description in RNAcentral is "tRNA-Leu". Lineage: Eukaryota; Metazoa; Arthropoda; Insecta; Hemiptera; Carsidaridae. The record is from RNAcentral.
CUAUAGUGACAGAUUAAAUGUGUUAAAUUUAAGAUUUAUUUAUGAAAAUCAAUUUCCUUUAGAAA